GUGCAUUUUUGCUCUUGAGUUUUUUCUCUAUUCCACCAGCUCACCUCACCACCAGCACCAACCACACAAGACAACAAUUUAGUAAUAAAAUUAACAAUAAAUCAUGUUUAUCAUGUGCUACACAAAGCGUCUGCUCCUGUUUAGCCUCUAUCAUUGUGAUAAAGCACAAACUGCAAGCAAUUUAGGGGAACAAUGAGUUUAUUCAGCCACCAGGUCCGUCACUGAGGGAAGACAGGGCUGGAACUUGAAGCAGAAUUCAUGGAGGAGUACUGUUUGCUGGCUUUCACACAGGCCCAUUCUUAUCUAACUUUCUUAUAUAGUCCAAGAAUAUUACCCAAGGGAUGCUGCUAUUCACAGUAGUCUGGGUCCUUCUACAUCAACUAAUAAUCAAGAGAAUUCUCCACAGACAUAUCCACAGGCCAAUUUGAUGUGGUAAAUCCCUCAUGUCCUUCCUCUCAGGUGAUUUUAAGCUGAUUAAAGCUAAAAUGAACAAA
RNAcentral lists this long non-coding RNA (494 nucleotides) under Rattus norvegicus (Norway rat). RNAcentral describes it as "long non-coding RNA NONRATT021758". The record is from RNAcentral. Lineage: Eukaryota; Metazoa; Chordata; Mammalia; Rodentia; Muridae.